RNAcentral lists this ribosomal RNA (496 nucleotides) under uncultured bacterium. RNAcentral's name for it is "partial 16S ribosomal RNA". It matches the Rfam family "Bacterial small subunit ribosomal RNA", at positions 28 to 506 of the family's 1533-position model. The record is from RNAcentral.
GAUGAACGCUGGCGGCGUGCCUAAUACAUGCAAGUCGAGCGAACAGACGAGGAGCUUGCUCCUUUGACGUUAGCGGCGGACGGGUGAGUAACACGUGGAUAACCUACCUAUAAGACUGGGAUAACUUCGGGAAACCGGAGCUAAUACCGGAUAACAUGUUGAACCGCAUGGUUCAACAGUGAAAGACGGUCUUGCUGUCACUUAUAGAUGGAUCCGCGCCGCAUUAGCUAGUUGGUAAGGUAACGGCUUACCAAGGCAACGAUGCGUAGCCGACCUGAGAGGGGGAUCGGCCACACUGGACCUGAGACCCGGUCCAGACUCCUACGGGAGGCAGCAGUAGGGAAUCUUCCGCAAUGGGCGAAAGCCUGACGGAGCAACGCCGCGUGAGUGAAGAAGGUCUUCGGAUCGUAAAACUCUGUUAUUAGGGAAGAACAAAUGUGUAAGUAACUAUGCACGUCUUGACGGUACCUAAUCAGAAAGCCACGGCUAACUACGU